GGCCAGUUAACUCAGUUGGUUAGAGUGUCGUAUUAAUAAUGCGGAGACGUGGGUUCGACCCCCACACUGGCCA
Molecule: transfer RNA, 73 nt
Filed under: Dreissena polymorpha
Lineage: Eukaryota; Metazoa; Mollusca; Bivalvia; Myida; Dreissenidae
Description: transfer RNA isoleucine (anticodon AAU)
Rfam family: tRNA
About the family: Transfer RNA (tRNA) molecules are approximately 80 nucleotides in length. Their secondary structure includes four short double-helical elements and three loops (D, anti-codon, and T loops).
Source: Rfam by way of RNAcentral